This is a long non-coding RNA of Camelus dromedarius (Arabian camel), 1548 nucleotides long. RefSeq lists it as uncharacterized. Lineage: Eukaryota; Metazoa; Chordata; Mammalia; Artiodactyla; Camelidae. The record is from RefSeq and is a predicted model, not a curated record. The transcript has 3 exons.
AAGUAAGGAUUUAGUUAACAGAUGAUUAUUGAAGUUUUUAUGUAAAUUGUGCAUACUGCACUGUAAAAAUUUGAAAUCUACAAUCAUAGACUAUAGAACAAGCAGAUAUACACAAGACAAGUUAAGCCCACACUGUUUCAAGAGGCUUCUAUUUUUAAAAUGUAUUAAAUAUUUAUUUUCACAGAUUGAUGUGUUUAGGCAAAUCAUUUUAAAAUAUGUUGUCACAAUUACUUUGAAACAACAAUAAUUUUUAUCAUUAUUGUAAUUUUCAGUGUAUAUUCACAUGUGAUUCCAACAACUAUGACACUGAGUUGCUGAAGCAAAAUCAAACAUUUUAGAAAUAAAGAAAUUAAAGGACAGGAAAAUUAAUUGACUUGCAGCAAUUUUUUUAUACUGUCAUCUUGGCUAAGCUAGAAUACUUUACAAGAAUCCCCUAUCCUGUAUGAUAGUUUGUUAACUGGCCCAAAUAAGAAAUUCUUUUUACAAAUUUUGGAAGGGGAAAAUAAAGCAGCUCAUCUGAAAUCUGUUAAUUUAGAGGUACGAGUAACAAAGAGAUACUUGUGGAUUCUAGCUAGUUCUUGCUGUCUUUGGCUCCACACCCACAUCAUCUUCCCAAAUGAAAAUCUUGCUGACCAAGAGCCACUGAGACCCAACAGAUAUGUGGAGACAGCAGCUUUCCAUAAUCUUUUGCACCAGGUCUCCUUUGCAGACCCACUUGGGCAGCCCAAACUGCUUUACUUCAAAGGGUUGGUUAUUGUCUUUUCCAUGAGCCUCCAAUUCUCCCUUUUAGAAAUUUAUGACCCCAGCAAUACACACAAUUUGGGGAAGUGCUAUCACAUAUCUAACCCCUUUUCACAUAAUACUCAUAUUUGUUUUCAUUUUCAGAUUGAAUCUGACUGAGACAUAACUUCGAUGAGAUCACACUGCUAUUAAACGUCAGUAUUGAAAAUCAAAUAUUUCAUACUAUUUCUCAACCUUGAAAGAAAGAGUAUUUCCAGAAAAAAAAAAGAGGAGUUGUUAAGGAGACAAUGGAAAAGACUUCUAAAUAACUACAGCAUUUGGCCAGUUCACAAUGGAGGAAAUAAUGAACGGCUGUACUCUGAUAGACACUAAAAAAAUUCCUUUUAUGGGCCCCAAGAUCCCUGACAUCACAAGGAAAUGAUUCAUUUACAACUUGGGUAACAGGUGAGUUUUUUAAGCAGUGAUUUGGGGCUAUUGUUAAUAACAAGGUACAUGAAAGCUUCUUUAUAAAACUAAAAUUAUAUAAUAAUAAUAAAUAAUACCAUUUAGUAAAUGGUAAAUGUAUUAUGUAAAUUGUUUCAUGGAAUCCCACACUGGGGACCUGGGCCUAUUGUUUCCCUUUGAAUAACAGAUUCUUCCCUAAAUCAUUUGAAAUCUGUUCCCUGUAAAUUUUAAAUAGGAUAACAUUAUUUUGCUAUAAUAGAGUAGUUUAAAUUUAAGCACAACCAUUCUGUUUCAAUUAUAGAAGUGUCAUUGGGAUUUAAUUACACAAUUUGAAAGACUGAGCGCAAAAACUACCUGCGUGCU